This 484-nucleotide ribosomal RNA is filed under the name uncultured bacterium. Its description in RNAcentral is "partial 16S ribosomal RNA". It matches the Rfam family "Bacterial small subunit ribosomal RNA", at positions 30 to 507 of the family's 1533-position model. The record is from RNAcentral.
AUUGAACGCUGGCGGCAGGCCUAACACAUGCAAGUCGAGCGGAUGAAGGGAGCUUGCUCCUGGAUUCAGCGGCGGACGGGUGAGUAAUGCCUAGGAAUCUGCCUGGUCGUGGGGGAUAACGUCCGGAAACGGGCGCUAAUACCGCAUACGUCCUGUGGGCGCCAGUGGGGGAUCUUCCGACCUCACGCUAUCAGAUUAGCCUUGGUCGGAUUAGCUAGUGGGUGGGGUAAAGUCCUACCAAGGCGACGAUCCGUACCUUGUCUGAGAGGGUGAUCAGUCAGAUGGUAACUGAGAAACGGUAGCGACACUGACGGGAGGCAGCAGUGGGGAAUAUUGGAGGAUGGGGGAAAGCGUGAUCCAGCCAUGCGGCGGGUGUGAAGAAGGUCUUAGGAUGGGAAAGCGCUGUAAGUUGGGAGGAAGGGAAGUAAUUUAAUACCUUACUGUAUUGACGUUACCAACAGAAUAAGCACCGGCUAACUUCGUG